Molecule: ribosomal RNA, 301 nt
Filed under: uncultured bacterium
Lineage: Bacteria
Description: partial 16S ribosomal RNA
Rfam family: Bacterial small subunit ribosomal RNA
Source: RNAcentral
CAGUGCCGCGGUAAAACGAAGGGGGCUAGCGUUGCUCGGAGUUACUGGGCGUAAAGGGCGCGUAGGCGGACAGUUAAGUCGGGGGUGAAAGCCCGGGACUCAACCUCGGAAUUGCCUUCGAAACUGGCUGUCUUGAGUACGGGAGAGGUGAGUGGAACUCCGAGUGUAGAGGUGAAAUUCGUAGAUAUUCGGAAGAACACCAGUGGCGAAGGCGACUCACUGGCCCGUUACUGACGCUGAGGCGCGAAAGCGUGGGGAGCAAACAGGAUUAGAUACCCGUGUAGUCCCUGUCUCUUAUACC